This 77-nucleotide transfer RNA is filed under the name Sphingomonas sp. RNAcentral's name for it is "tRNA-His". It matches the Rfam family "tRNA". Rfam says of the family: Transfer RNA (tRNA) molecules are approximately 80 nucleotides in length. Their secondary structure includes four short double-helical elements and three loops (D, anti-codon, and T loops). RNAcentral also lists the same sequence under 6 other names. The record is from RNAcentral. Lineage: Bacteria; Pseudomonadati; Pseudomonadota; Alphaproteobacteria; Sphingomonadales; Sphingomonadaceae.
GCGACCGUAGUUCAAUUGGUUAGAGCACCGGCUUGUGAUGCCGGGGGUUGCGGGUUCAAGUCCCGUCGGUCGCCCCA